RNA transcript from Pongo pygmaeus (Bornean orangutan), 12217 nucleotides. It is a transcript of the gene named S-adenosyl-L-methionine-dependent tRNA 4-demethylwyosine synthase TYW1, with no coding region annotated. The record is from RefSeq and is a predicted model, not a curated record. NCBI's taxonomy places the organism in Eukaryota, Metazoa, Chordata, Mammalia, Primates, Hominidae. The transcript is spliced from 15 exons.
GGGCCCACCUCUUCGUCCUCUGAACCAAUCAGGACCGGUCUGCCAGUGUCAUGGCUGCCCACACCUCUGCAGGCACUUUGUACGCCACUAACGCGGCGUGGUAGCUCGGUGCGUCUCGCCGUACCAAUGCUAACCAUCGGGCUAUCGAGGUCUGAGAUCCUAGUCUCCUGUCGGCUCUGAGGAGGAUGGAUCCUUCUAUGGAUACAUGGGACCUCUCCUCACCUUUAAUAUCAUUAUGGAUAAACAGGUUUUACAUUUAUUUGGGCUUUGCUGUUAGCAUUAGCCUUUGGAUUUGUGUCCAGAUUGUCAUCAAGACACAGGGCAGGAACUUACAGGAAAAAUCUGUUCCAAAAGCAGCUCAGGAUUUGAUGACAAAUGGUUAUGUCUCCCUUCAAGAGAAAGACAUCUUUGUCUCUGGAGUGAAGAUUUUUUAUGGUUCUCAGACUGGAACAGCAAAGGGAUUUGCAACAGUUCUUGCUGAAGCAGUUACAUCCCUGGAUCUGCCUGUGGCAAUUAUUAAUCUAAAAGAAUAUGAUCCAGAUGAUCAUCUGAUAGAAGAGGUGACUAGUAAAAAUGUCUGUGUCUUCCUGGUUGCAACAUACACUGACGGCCUACCAACCGAAAGUGCAGAGUGGUUCUGCAAAUGGUUAGAGGAAGCAGCCAUUGAUUUUCGAUUUGGCAAAACUUACCUGAAGGGUAUGAGAUAUGCGGUAUUUGGCCUGGGAAAUUCUGCCUAUGCUAGCCACUUCAACAAGGUUGGCAAAAAUGUUGACAAGUGGCUCUGGAUGCUUGGUGCACAUCGUGUGAUGAGUCGAGGGGAGGGCGACUGCGACGUGGUUAAAAGCAAGCACGGCAGCAUUGAGGCCGACUUCAGAGCAUGGAAAACCAAGUUCAUCUCCCAGCUGCAGGCACUUCAGAAAGGAGAGAGAAAGAAGUCCUGUGGCGGCCACUGCAAGAAAGGCAAAUGUGAAUCUCACCAACGUGGCUCAGAGGAGAGGGAGGAAGGAGCUCACGAGCAGGAUGAAUUGCAUCACAGAGACACCGAGGAGGAAGAACCCUUUGAGAGCUCCAGUGAAGAAGAGUUUGGUGGUAAGGACCAUCAGAGCCUGAAUUCCAUUGUUGAUGUUGAAGAUUUGGGCAAAAUUAUGGAUCAUGUGAAGAAAGAAAAGAGAGAAAAGGAACAGCAGGAAGAGAAGUCUGGUUUGUUCAGGAACAUGGGGAGGAAUGAAGAUGGUGAAAGAAGAGCUAUGAUAACUCCUGCUCUCCGAGAAGCCCUUACUAAACAAGGUUAUCAGUUGAUUGGGAGCCACUCGGGGGUGAAGCUUUGCAGGUGGACAAAGUCGAUGCUGCGAGGGAGAGGAGGUUGUUACAAACACACAUUCUAUGGAAUUGAGAGCCAUCGCUGCAUGGAAACCACCCCGAGCUUGGCGUGUGCUAAUAAAUGUGUCUUCUGUUGGCGGCACCACACCAACCCCGUGGGCACUGAAUGGCGGUGGAAGAUGGACCAGCCUGAAAUGAUCUUGAAGGAAGCCAUCGAAAACCAUCAGAACAUGAUUAAGCAGUUUAAAGGAGUACCGGGCGUCAAAGCAGAACGCUUUGAAGAAGGAAUGACAGUAAAGCACUGUGCAUUGUCCCUCGUGGGAGAACCAAUAAUGUACCCAGAGAUCAACAGGUUUUUGAAGCUACUCCACCAGUGUAAAAUCUCCAGCUUCCUGGUCACAAAUGCACAAUUUCCUGCGGAAAUCAGGAACCUCGAGCCAGUUACUCAGCUGUAUGUCAGUGUGGAUGCCAGUACCAAAGACAGCCUGAAGAAAAUCGACCGCCCACUCUUCAAGGAUUUCUGGCGGAGAUUCCUUGACACUUUAAAAGCCUUGGCAGUCAAGGUGGAGUCUGGCUCUGCUGCCCAGGCUGGAGUGCAGUGUUGUGAUCUUGGCUCACUGCCACCUCCGCCUCCCAGGUUCAAGCGGUUCUCCUGCCUCAGCCUCCUGAGUAGCUGGGACUACAGGCGUGCAACACCAUGCCUGGCUAAUUUUUGAAUUUUUAGUAAAGACGAGGUUUCACAGUGUUGGUCAGGCUGGUCUCGAACUCCUGACCUUAGGUGAUCUGCCCACCUCGGCCUCCCAAACUGCUGGGAUUACAGGCGUGAGCACUGUGGCUGGCCUGUUUCUUAUUCUUUCCAUUACUUUGUAACUCUUGUUAAAUUUUUCUACAAGUAAUUUUUGGAAUACUUGCCAUCCUUAUUUUAUGGCAUUUCUUCUAUUAAUUUCUGUUCUUUUAUUUCCUUUUUUCUUAUAUUUAUAUUAUUGUUUACUUUUUAACAUCUUGUACAUAGUAAAUUAUAGAUGUUCAUCCUUUCCAUUUUAAAAUUAAGAAAUAAUUUGCUUUGCAUAAAAAUGACUUUUUAAAGUAUAUAAUUUAGUGGCUUUUAGUUUAUUUACAAAACAGUGUGACCAUGUGGAUUAUUUAAUUUCAGAACUUCCAAUAGUGUCUGUCUUCUUACAGUUAGUAUAAUGUUUUCCAAGUUAGCGCAUGUUAUAGCAUGAAUCAGAACUUCAUCUUUUUUUUUGAGACGGAGUCUCGCUCUGUUCCCCAGGCUAGAGUGCAGUGGCAUGAUCUUGGCUCACUGCAACUUCUGUCUCCUGGGUUCAACUGGUUCUCCUGCCUCAGCCUCCUGAGUAGCUGGGACUACGGGCACCCUCCACCACACUGAGCUAAUUUCUGUAUUUUUAGUAGAGAUGGAGUUUCACCAUAUUGGCCAGGCUGGUCUCAAACUCCCGACCUUGUGAUCCACCCGCCUUGGCCUCCCAAAGUGCUGGGAUUACAGGCGUGAGCCACUGCGCCCAGCCUAGAACUUCAUCUUUUUUGCUGAAUACUGUUCUCUUGGAUGGAUAUGUACUAUAUUUUCUUUGUCCGUUCUUCAGCUGAUGGACGUUGGCAUUGUUUCCAGCUUUUGGCUGUUAUGAGUAAUACUGCUGGGAAUAUUCAUGCACAGGUUUUAGUGUGAAUAUAUGUUUCAGUUCACACUUGUGAGUAAAGUUGCUGGGUCAUAUAGUAAUUCUAUAUUUAACUUUUUCAGGAGCUGCCAACUUGAAGCACAAAAAGUUUUAACUUUGAAAAAGUCCAUUGUAUCUUUUUUUCCUCCUUCUGUUGCUUAUGUUUUUGGUGUCACAUCUAAUUGCCUAAUGCAAGGUGACAGAGAUUUACCAUAUGUUUUCUUCCAAGAGUUUUAUUGUUUUAGCUCUUUGAGCAGUUUUGAGUUAAUUUUUGUGGACAAUGUGAGAUGGUCAUUUGCCUGUGAAUAACUAGUUGUCUCAGUACCAUGUGUUGAAAAGACUAUUUUUUUCCCCAUUGAAUUGUCUUUGUACCCUUGUCAAAAUCAAUUGGCCGUUAAGUGUAUGGGUUUUAUUUGUGGACUGUCCAGUUCUGUUCCAUUGAUGUUCACUUUUAUCCUUACGGUGGUACCACAUAAUCUUGAUUAACAUAGCUUUGAGUACGUUUUGAAAUCACAGUGUUUGAAUCUUCUAACUUUGUUCUUUUUCAAAUUAUUUUGGGUCUUUGGGUUCCUAUGCAUUUCCAUAUGCAUUUUGGGAUCAGCUUUUAAAGCCUGCAAAACAGGCAGCUGGAACUUUAACAGGGAUUUAAAAUUUUUUAUUGAGGUAGCAUUCAAGUAACAUAAAAUGAACUGUUUUAACAUGAACAACUAAGUGGCAUUUCAUACAUUUACAGUCUUGUGUAAUCAUCACCUUUAUCUAGUUCCUAAACAUUUUUAUUACUCCAACAUAAAAUCCUGUACCUAUUAAGCAGUUACUCCCCAUACCUCAUAACCAGUCCCUUAUAACCACCAAUCUGUUUUCUGUUACUAUGGAUAUAGCUGUUCUGGAAAUUUCAUAUAAAUGGAUUUGUGUAGUAUGUGACUUGCUUUCAUUCCUGGGAUAAAUCCCACUUGGUAAUAAUGUAAAAUAUUUUAAUAUGAUGUUGUAUUUGGUUUGGUAGUAUUCUGCUGAGAAUUUCUACAUCAUGAAGGAUUGGAUUAUAGUUUUCUUUUCUGGUGAUGUCUUUUUCUGGUUUGUUAUGAAGAUAAUGCUGGCCUCGGAGAAGGAGGUGUGAAGUGUUUCCUCUUCUAUUUUUUUUGAAAGAGUUUGAGAAUAUUCUUCUUGAAAUGUUUGGCAAUGAAGCCAUCUGCUCUUAAGCUUUUAUUUGUUGGGAGUUUUUUGAUUGUUCAAUCUCUUGACUUGUAGGUCUGUUCCGAUUGUCCAUUUCUCCUUGAGUCAUUUUUGGUAAUUUACGUAUUUCUAAGAAUUUGUCCAUUUAAUUUAGGUUAUCCACUUUUUUUGGUAUAUAGUUGUUCAUAGCAUUUUCUUAUAAUUCCUUUUAUUUGUGUGGGGUUAGUAGUAGUAUCUCCACUUUCAUUUCUGAUUUUAGUUAUCUGUGUCUUUUUCUUAGUCUAGCUAAAGGUCCAUUUAGUUGAUCUUUUCAUAGAACAUACCUUUGGUUUCUUUGUUCUCCCCAGUUUUUCUGUUCUCUAUUUCUUUUACCUCUGUUCUAGUCUUUGUUUCUCUUUCCUAACCCUGUUGGUUUAAUUUACUCUUGUUUUGCUAGGUCUUGGAGGAGAGUUAAGUUAAUCAUGUUGUUCAUGUGUUCUGUGCUUUUACUCCUUUGUCUUUAAUUGUUACUGAGAAAGUUCUUUUGUCUUAUAUUAUUGGUUACCCAGAGAGAUGUGUACAAAUGUUCUAUUGUGACUCUGGCUAUGUUCAUUUCUCAUUUUAGUUAUGUCAAUUGUUACUUCAUAUGGAUGCUAUAUUGUUAGGUACUAGUCUAUUCUUAUACUAGUUAAGAAUUGUUAUAUAUUUUUGGUGAAUUGGCCUUUUUAUAAUGCCCUUCUCACCUUCUCAUCUUAAAGUCUGUCUAAUACUAGUAAAGCAACACUAGUAUUUUUUUAUGGUCAGUGUUUGCAUAGUACAACUUUUUUCUUUUUGUUUUUAUUUUCAGCCUUUUUUGUAUCUUUAUAUUUAAGUUAUAUCUUCAUAAGACAUUACCAUUUUUCUGUCAUGCAGUCAGUAUUCAUGAUUUACCCACAAAUUUUCUCUCUAUUCUUUCGUAUGUCUCUGCUUCCAUCUGAAGGACUUUUUAAUAACAUGUAAUUGGGUUUGUUUUCUUAAACCUUUGGAAAAUCUUUAUCUUUUUGAGUGUUUAUCUGUUUGCAUGAAGUACAAUAAUAGACAUUUGAAUUUAAAUUUAGCAUGUAAUUAUUUGCAUUAUUUUCCUUUCCCCUUUUUAGCUAUCUUUUUCUCUAUUUUCUUUUGUUUUUAAUUAAGGAAUUUUAUUAUAAGUUUUUCAUUCUGUUGGUUUUUAAUAUUUAUUUUUCUAUUAUUGUUCUUUUAGUUGUUGCCCUAGUGAUUGAAGCGGGCAACCUUGACUUAUUAAAGUCAAUGUAAAUUAACGUUUACAUCAUUUUAUAAGCAAUAGUACUUAGAAUACUUAACUCCAUUAACUCCCUCCCAACUUCUAUGCUGUUUUUGUUGUACAUUUUACUUUUGCAUAUUUUUUGAACUCCACAUGACCUUACUAUUCUUUUUUUUUUUUGAGACGGAGUCUUGCUCUGUUGCCUAGGCUGGAGUGCAGCCGCCCAGUCUCAGCUCACUGCAGCCUCUGCCUCCUGAGUUCAAGUGAUUCUCCUGCCUGAGCCUCCUGAGUAGCUGGGAUUACAGGUGCGUGCCACCACGCCUGGCUAUUUUUUUUGUAUUUUUAGUAGAAACUGUGUUUCACCACGUUGGCCAGGCUGGUCUUGAACUCUUGACCUUGGGUGAUCCACUCACCUCAGCCUCCCAGAGUGCUGGAGUUAUAGGCAUGAGCCACUGUGCCCAGCUAAGACCUUACCAUUCUUGUUUCAUACCGUCAGUAUUCAUGAUUUCACCACAAAUUUUCUCUUUAAUCUUUACUAUGUCUCUUCUUCCAGCUGAAGGACUUUUUAAAAAACAAACAAGCUGGAUGUGAUGGCUCACACCUGUAAUCCCAGCACUUUGGGAGUUCAAGGUAGGAGGAUCACUUGAGUCCAGGAGUUCAAGACCAGCCUGGGCAACAUAAUGAGACCCUGUCUCUACAAAAAGUAAAAAAAAUUAACCGAGUGUGAUGAUGCACCAGUGCACUCCAGCCUGAGUGACAGAGUGAAACCCUGUCUCAAAAAACAAAAAAUUAAAAAAAAAUUAAAAACAAAAUAUAAACACAAUACCAUUAUCACUACUAAUACAAUUAACAAUGCAUUUUAAUGCAUUUCCUGAAAAUUCAAAUGUGUCUAAUUUUCUCUGAUAGUUUCCAAAAGAAUGUGUUUUUAUAACUUUUUUUCUCAGAGUAAUAUCCAAACAAGAUUCUCACACUGUACUUUGUUUAUACUUCUUGUAAUGUGAUUGCUCCAAUCCUGUUUCCCCUUCUUGUGUGCUACUUAUUUGUGGAAGAAGGUGGGUCGUUUGUCAUUAGAAUUUGCAACAUCCCGAAUUUGGCUGAUUGAGUCCUUUUGGUAUCUUUUAAUAUAGUCUGUGUUUCUUUGUAAUUCCUGUAAAAUGGUAGUUACAACUAAAGGCUCGAUUAAUGAUAUAUUCAGUUUUUGGCAAGAAUACUUAAUAAUUGUUGCUGUACUGUUUCCUAAUGCAUCAAUCAAGUGGUACACAACAUCUAGUUGUUAAGAUUGAUUAGUGGAUUUUCUACAUAGAUAAUCAUGCUAUCUCUAAACAAAGACAGUUUUAUUUCUUUCUUCCAAAUCUGUUUUCCUUGUAUUCCCCUGCCUUGUCUUACUGCAUUGAUUAGGACUUCCAGUACCAUGUUGAAAAGCAGUGGUGAGAGAAGACAUCCUUGCUUUGUUCCUGAUAUUAGUGGGAAAGCUUCCAGGUUCUUGCCAUUAAGUAUGAUGUUAGCUGUAGGUUUUUUGUAGAUAUCCUUAUUAAGUUGAGAAAAUUUUCCUAGUUUGCUGAGAGUUUUUAUUAUGAGUGGGUGGUGAAUGGUGUCAUAUGCUUUUUGGCAUCUAUUGAUAUAAUCACGUGAUUUUCCUUCUUUAUCUUGUUGAUGUGAUGGAUUACAUUAACUGAUUUUCAAAUGUUCAAUCAGCCUUACCUACAGAUGGGUUGCAGACAAACAACUCAUUUUGUCUGCUUACAUACAAAUGGCAAAUGGUUUUUCUGGGAGUAUUUUAGUGGAGAACUGUGAGAGGCUCUAUUGCAUACUGCUGGUCUUUUGUUUGAUAACCAAGAUGUCUUUAGUUAGACUCUUUGGGACAUUUGUCACAUUAGGACCCCCUUCCCCUAUGCUCUUGGGAUAUUCUGAACUUAUCAUUAUGCUGCUUAUCAGAUUAACAUUUCUGCAUGUCUUUUUCUCCCCCAUUACAAAAGUUUUACUCAUUUACUGUAGAAAUUUGGGGCAAUACAGGAAAACAUAAACCCAAAGGGGAUAAAUAAAAACAUUUUAUGAAAUUUUUAAAAGCAGGCAGAGAUAAAGAGAGAUUACUUUCAAAAGAGCAACAAUAGGCCAGUGCUUGAUUGCAGAACAGAAAUGAGAGCACAAACCAUGGAGCCUCAAAGGGCUGAAAUUUGCCAAGAGCUGCCAAUCUAGAAGUCCAUUCCCAGUGAAAAUAUUUUUCAAGAGUGAAGGAGAAAAAAAAAGUUUUGAAGAAGACAAAAUGCCUACUUAGUAAAGGAAAUAGGUUAAAAAUCAAUAAGCUAAAUGCAUAUAUUAAGAAGUUAAUUGGUACCAACAAUGUUUUUUUUUUUAAAAAAGAAAAGAGCAGUAAAUUAAACAUAGAGUAAGUACUUGGAAGGAAAUAAAAAGAGCAGAAAUUAAGGAAAUAAAAAACAUCCAUAAAAUAGGAUUACAAAAAAGCAAAAGUUGGUUAUUCAAAAAAUCUUACAAAACUGAUGAUUACCUGGCAAGUUUAAUCAAUAAAAUGAGAGAUGAUACAAAUAAGUAAUGUUAGAAAUGAAAAUGAAACAUCACUAUAGAUCCUAUAGACAUUAAAAAGAUAGGAGGAUAUUUUGAAUUACUUUAUGCCAAUUAAUUUGGGAAUUUAGAUGAAAUAUACAAAUUCCUAGAAAAUGAAGCUUAAGAAAAUUAAUACUAGAAGAAAUGAUCUACAUGGACUUAUAAUUGUUAAAUAAAUUGCUUUUUAAAAUUUGAAACCUCAAACAAAGGAAACUCCAGGCCCAGAUGAUUUCAUCGUUGAAUUAUACCAGUUCCUGAUGAUACCAGUCAUCAGGAGAACUAACACCAACCCUACACAACUAUUCCAGAGAGGAAUAGUAGCACUUUCCAUCUCAUUUUAUUAGUUCAGAAUAAUUUUUUUUUUUUUUUUGAGAUGGAGUUUCGCUCUUGUUGCCCAGGCUGGGGUGCGAUGGCGUGAUCUCAGCUCACCGCAACCUCUGCCUCCUGGGCUCAAGUGAUUCUCGUGCCUCAGCCUCCCAAGUAGCUGGGUCUACAGGCAUGCGCCAUUACGCCCAGCUAAUUUUGUAUUUUUAGUAGAGAUGGGGUUUCUCCAUGUUGGUGAGGCUGGUCUCGAACUCCCAACCUCAGGUGAUCCACCUGCCUCAGCCUCCCAAAGUGCUGGGAUUACAGGCAUAAGCCACUGCGUCCAGCCAGUUCAGAAUAAUCUUUAUACCAAAUUCUAAGAAGAAUAAGACAAAAGCGAUUUUUACUCAUAAGCAUAGAAGCAACAAUUUUAAAGAAAAGAUCAACAAACUAAAUACAGCAGUCUAUAAAACCAUGAAAAACUGGCUUUAUUCUAAGAAUGCAAGUUUUGUUUAAUGUGUAAAAAUCAACCUAUUUAUGAUGUCAUAAUAAGAAAGAUGGUAGGAUAAGCUUAAUAGAUGCAUAAAAAGAAUUUGACAGAAAUCAAUAUUUAUUUAUGAUUAAAAUCUUAUAGCCAAUUAGAAUUAGAAGGAAACUUCCUAAUCCGAUAAAGAUAUUUACCCAUAAAACUCAUACUUCUUGAGUAAAUGUUUAAAAUCUUACUGUGCAGAAUAAGACAAGCAUACCCACUAUAUUUAUCACCACUUCCAUUUAACAUGGAAUCAAAGUCCUGGCUAGUGCUAAAUGACAAGAAAAAGGGAAAAAAGUUAUGAUUGGAAAGGAAGAUGUCAUUUUUAGUAAAUAAAUGUGUACAUAAACAAUCCUUUCCAAAAUUUGUAAUUAUUCGCUUUAAUAAAUGUAUUUUACAAGACUGCUAUAUGGAUACACAGUCAGCUUACAAAAAUCAGUUAUAUUUCUGUAUACCAGCUAUUAAAAUAUCAGUUAAAUAUUAGUUAAAAGAGGAAAAAUAGAAAAGAUACUACCAUAACAAAGCAUCAAAAGUAUAUUACCUUGGAAUAAAUCUAUGGAAAGAAGUUUUUGACCUUUGUGUUGAAAACUAUAAAAUAUUAUCGAGAGAAAUUUUGAAGGAUCUAAAUAAAGGUAAUUAUUUUGGCAGAUUCAGGGUGGUAAAAGUAUCAUUUCUCCAUACACUGAUUAUAUUUAAUUACGGUAGCCACUAGCUACAUGUGGCCAUUGAGUACUUGAAACGUGGCUACCCUGAAUUGAGCCAUGCUGUGCAUUGGAAUUCAAAGACUACACUUGAUCUUAGCCAAAAGGCUAGAAGCAAUGGAAUUCAAAGAUUUAGUCUGGUAAAAAGAAUGUCAGGUAUCCCAAUAUUUAAAUAUUGAUUGCUUCUUGAGUUGAUAAUUUUGGGGAUAUGUUAAGUUAAAAUACAUUUAAAAAAAUAAUUUCACCUGUGAACUUAUAUGUCUAUUGAACAACACUGGCUUAUAGAUUCAAUGCCAUAUCAGGCAGAAUCAUAAAGGGUUGUUUAUGUUUGUGGAAAUUAAUAAGCUGAUUCUAAAAUGUACAUGGAUAUGCAAAGGGCCAAGAAUAGCCAACAUACUCUUUCAGAAGGACGACAUAAGAGAACGUGCUCCACUGUAGGGCUUUUCAACGUUGGCACCAUCGACAUUUUAGACUGCAUAGUUCUUUUUAGGAAAAGGGUUGGGGAGACUGUCCCAUGCAUUGUAGGAUAUUCAGCAGCAGCCCUGGCCUUUACCCACUAGAUGUCAGUAGCAGCCCCCAUUUGUGAAAACCAAAAGAUUUUCUCAAGAUGUUGCUAAUUGUCCCAUGCGGUGCAGAAUCGCUCCUGGUUGAGAACCAUCUGUACUGGAUAUCAAGUCUUAGUAUAAAGCAACAGUAAUUAAAAGUGUGAUAUUGAGACAAAGAGAAAUGAUUAGAUCACUGGAACAGAAUAGAAAAAACCAGAAGCAGACCCUCACAUGCAUAGACAAUGAUUCUAUCAUAUUUACUACAGUGGACUAUCCACAUGUUAAAUAAGUUUAACCUCUCAACACCACACGCAAAAGUCAGUUUUGGUGGAUUUUUGUCACAAAUGUGAGUGGCAAUAUGAUAAAACUUCUAGAAAAAAAUGUAAGAGCUUAUCUUCAUGCUCUUGAUAGCAUGGAAUGAUCCUUUAAAGAGACACAAGAAACACUAAUAUGAAAGCAACGCUAGUAAGGAAAGAAAGUGGAAAUGUAUGAAAGUUAGGAAUUCUUAUUGAUCAGAAGACAUUGUGAAAAAAAGGAAGCCAUAAAGUGGAUGAAAUUAUUUCUAAUACAUUUAUAACAGAGCUUUUCUUUCCAGCAAAUGCAAAUAAUUUAUUGAAAAUCAGUUGGAAAAAAGACAAAUAUUCCAACAGAGAAAUAUUCAAGAAAUUUGAACCAGUACUUCACAAAAACAGAGAUACAGAUAGCCAGAAAACAUAUGAACUUAGCUUGCUUACAUUCAUAGUCAGAUGCAAAGCCAAAACAAUGCAAAAGUGGUGAAAACUAGCAACACUAAGUGUUGUUGAAGAUAACAACCAACCAAAACUCUGAUACAACGUGGGUGAAAGUGUGGCAAAAUGACUUUGGCAAUCAGAUUGCCAAUAUCUGCUAAGAUCGAAUGUAUACAUAUCCGCCAUGACCCAGCAUUUCCAUAUUUAGGUAGAUCCUAGAAAAUGUGUGUUCUUGUGCAUCAAGAAACAAGUACAGCUGGGCACGGUUGUUCAUGCCUGUAAUCCUAGCAUUUUGGGAGGCCAAGGCAAGAGGAUUGCUUGAGCCCAAGAGUUUGAGACCAGCCUGGGCAACAAAAUGAGCCUGUCUCUACAGAAAAAAAAAAAAAAAAAAGCUAGGAGGGGCAGCAUGUGCCUGUAGUCCCAGCUACUCAAGAGGCUGAGACGGGAGGAUCCCUUGAGACUGGGAGGUUGAGGCUGUAGUGAGCCGUGCUUAUGCCACUGCACUCCAGCCUGAGUGAUGGAGCGAGACCCUAUCUCAAGCCAGACAAAAAAAAAAACAAGGAGGUGGGGGAGAGGGAGAGAGAGAUGAGUACAGUAGCACUCAUGGCAGCAGUAUUUUCUAAGAAACCCAAAGUAGGGGGUUAAAAUCAUUCACUAGUAGUAUAUUCAUACAAUGUGGCCAUAAAGAUGUAUCUAUGGUUACACAUAAGUACCAUGCACUCUACUGGGCCACUGGAGCUCCAGUUACAUCAACAGCAUGAAUGAAUCUCGCAAACAUCGAAUUCAGUGAAAGAAGCCAGACAAAAGAAUACAUGUCACAGUAGCAUUUUAUAAAAUUUCCUUAAACAGGCAAAACUAAACUCUGGCGUUCAAAGAGAUAACCACAUUGUUUUAUAAUAGCUAAAACCUGGACAUGAUCCAAAUGUUUAGGGAAUGGUUGAAUGACUUGUUGUAUAUUAAUGCAACCCAAUACUAGAUAAUGAAAAUGAACAAACCUAAACAUGGAGCAACAUGGGCGAAUUUUAUAAACACAGUGUUGAGUGAUAGACGCUGGACACAAAAUAAUGUAUGAUUCCACUGACAUAAAUUCCAAACACAGGCAAAAACUAGACUAUCAUGUUAAAGUCAGGAUAUUAGAUAUUAGUCAGGUGAAGGGAGUGGAUGUUCACUGGGAGGAGCAGAAGGGUGUCUGGGUGAUGGGCAUUUUGUGAUAAUCCCUGGAGUUAUACAUUCGUGUUUUGUGUACAUUUCUCUUUGUGUGUUUCAUCUCACAGUUUUAGAAGAUUUAGCAAAGUGAGAGAGAGCCUAUACUGGUUCCUACUGUUGCAUGACAGCAACAACGAACUGUCUACAGACUGACGCUCGUGAAAGCAUGGAACGUGGACGAGCUCCAGGCCUACGCGCAGCUCGUGUCCCUGGGGAAUCCUGACUUCAUCGAAGUGAAGG